UGUGAAGGUUCCCAAGCGUUCUUGCAGAGCUAAGACAGCGCUUGAUGCCCUGCAAGUGUUCCCUGAAACCUCAUUCUGUGUUAGCACCAGAUGAUGAGAUUGGGGGCCAGAGGUGCUCUGUUGGAAAGAAGGUAGCCCACCUGGGAGGAAUUUUCCAGAGAUCACUGUCUGAUGACCCUGUCUUGGAAUUGGAGCCAUGCAAGUUACACUGACCACGUUUGGGUUGGGAUAUUGAGGAGGUUAUGGUUAAAAGCAUACGAUGGGAGAUCAUAUUGUACUUGCGAGUGAGACCCGGCUGGAGGAAUGUUUUAAUUCUUCGGAAAUACCAAGUGGUCUCUCGUGUUUACCUUGGGUGUCUGUCAUUCCAUCCAAGCAAGUCCCAACUCACUCGUCCCGUACCUGAUUCCCAGACCUCUUCAGACGCAGUCAGAGAAAGCAUCUUGUCUUCAUUUUAUAGAGGAGGAAACUGAGGCAAAAGGAAACUACCCGAGUUUAUGCAUAAAGUUCGUAGUAGAACUGGAAUCAAUCGACCCAUCACCCCUUCUAUCAAUCAGUCACAUCACAGUAAUGAAUUUACUGCUACCGAACUGUGCACUUAAAUAUGGUUAAAAUAAUACAUUUUAUGUUUGUUAUAUUCUACCACAAUAAAUAAAUAUUUAGUCUC
Molecule: long non-coding RNA, 664 nt
Organism: Homo sapiens (human)
Lineage: Eukaryota; Metazoa; Chordata; Mammalia; Primates; Hominidae
Gene: MIATNB
Product: MIAT neighbor
Source: Ensembl